CGACGGCGUGAUCGAGAGGGGGAGCGGGCAGAGCUUUGGCAUGUCCAUCGCCAGGGAAGUACCGUUGUACGGCACCACCGUCGAUCCGCGUCCCUGGCCGCGCGGUGUCAUCGUGGGGUGGCCGCUGUGACUCACCUGAACCGUCCCCUGGAUCGUGUGCCCAGAUUGCGACCCCGGGGAUCGAUUGGAGCGUCGGGAUGUGCUCACCAGAAAUUCUCUGCUACCGUCGUACCGCGCCGCGCCGUGGGCCGGCCUCACCAUCACCACUAAUUCUUGUAAGACUAUCUCCAUUAGGUUCUGCAUAUUCUUAUUCUCUGUUUGCACCGAUUGGCACUUGGGUUGGGGCGACGGAGGCCGACUGACCUGCUUGCCAGCAAUGGAGCCGCCGUGGUAGAGUCCUUUGUUGCCGCGUGCACAGCGUAGGGAAGUAGACGAUGUUGUGGCCGCGGGAUCUCAAAGGGACGGAUAAGAUUAGAUCUUGACUUGGAGUAUUUGGGACCAUUGGAUGGUGAUCGGAUGGGUGAUAUUGGAUCGGGCUUAAGAAAAUAUGGGUCGUAGAUCUCGUAUCAUGCGGUCAUAAAUGGAUACCGGUUCUGGAUGUGUGGAUCUAACCUGGUCCGUGGGAUGCAGAUCGGGCGGCUGUCAUCUGAAGAUACCCCUUCACGGCAGCAACUUUUCAAAAGAGUCCCUGCGUUUUUAUAAAAUAAACCCGCAGUCCUAUUCCUGUAAAAACAAAUUACAGUCGAGCCCUGAUAUUUAUAAGAUAAACCCUAGGCUUUCACAAUUUUGUGACAGCAGUCCAGCAGUCCGAUAAAAUUAGGAAUUAAAUCCAAAAUGGGUUAAUGUAUAGGAAAAUAAACUCAAGAACUUGCAAAAUUCAUAUCUACCUCAUUCUAGCUCGGAAUUGAUCCAUUCCAAUUGCAUUAGACUCAUGAUAAUAUUGUCUAUCGGUUAGUAACCUUAUUUCACUAUGUAACUUAGUUAUAAAAAUAACAUUCAUUUUGUUUUAUGUUUAACACCUAAAUUAUUCAAAAAUUCAUAACUUUUACACCUUAACCCCGAUUUGAUCAAUUCGAAUAGCGCUAGCCUCGUAGAAAUAUUUACUACACAGUAGCAACAUUAAUUAUAUGAUAUCACAUACUUCUUUAAUUAAGUAACUAGUUGGAUUAAUCUAUAUUUAUUGGAUUAGCUUUUCUAAUAUUAAUAUAGUAUUAUGAUCUUAUGGUUAUGGUUGACUAAAAGAUGAUCUUUAAUCAAGUAAUGACUUAGAUUAAAGUUGAGUUAAUUAUUCAUAGAAUAUUCUCUCAUAUGAUGUAUACUAAUCAAUCUAUAAUAUAAUUUAAUAUUCAACCACAUAGAUCUUCCGUAAAUCGUAACUCGGUAACCGUAACUCUGAUUUUAGUGAUUCUCGAGCUCACGAUCUCGUAGCUUCGCGUACAUCAUUAUUAUUCAGUUUGUACUUAUGUUUGAUGUGAUGUUAAUUUUUUUAUGCCAUAUUUGUUCGUAUUGCUAUGACUAGCAGUGAGGUCAUGAGAAUCUGAAGAUCAUCCUGGUACCUGGAAUCUCAAGUCCUAGUCAAGUUGUGCCCUUGACUAGUUUUCUUACCCAAUAAUAUUCUUUAUAAUCAUUUAUUCAUGCAUAGGUUCAAUUUUUAUGGGACCCAAUAGGUCACCCUAGUCUGCUUAUCUUUUACCUUGUUCACCCCUGAAUCAUUGGGUAGUUUUGCUAUUGCUCUAUAUGGUUUUGGGAUUAAUAUUACAUUAUGUCCAUGUUCCAAUUAUACUGUUAUUUUAUUUAUGUUCAUGUCAGGAUCAAUAUUUUUAAUUGGAACAUGGAGCUUAACUUGAGAAACACGUGCCACCACAAGGGUGGAAUGGGAUGCCAUUGGCUGACUAAUUAGGAAAGUAGUGGAAGACUACCUUACCCGAAAGGGACAAGGGCGGUAGGGGAGUAGGCGUGUAGGGAGGUUCUCGGGUUGAUUUUGCUGCGAUGGUGGUCGGACGAGGGAUUCCUACAUUGCUCUUCCUAGAAACUGUAGCGGGUUUUUGGAAGCUAGUGGAACUUUGUAAAGGCCUCGUAGUGGAUCCCUAGCCAUUCACCUUGAAAGUGUCUUAGGGCCUUGCAAACCCUAGCGACAUGGGAUACACGACUUGUGGGUAUAGGGUACAACCUCUGCAGAGUGUAAAACUGGUAUACUAGCCGUGCUCACGGUCAUGAGCAGCUCAGGACUCUCGCAUGAUUAAAUUAUGGAACUAAAUUCAAUUUGUCAUUUGCAUUGCAUGAGAUUUAUUAUUAAUUUUGUUCUAUUAUUAUUAUGGUUUGGUAUCUACUUACACUUAGUAACUGCUAAUAAAAUUUUGACCAACUUUAAAAGCAAUGCUCAGCUUUAACCAUUCUCUUUGGUAAGCCUUACACUUCACAUGAGCUCCCACCUUUGGCGAGUUCAUGCACAUUAUUCCCCACAACUUGUUGAACGAUGAACAUAUGUGAGCUCACCCUUGCUGUCUCACACCCCCCACAGGUCAAGAACAGGUACCACAGGAUGAGGCGCCUAGAGGAUGUUGCGAUGUGUUCGUGAGAGGUCUAGGUCGUCGUCUCCCAGUUAACUUUGGGUUGCUGGAUCGUUGUCUCCUUACAAUGUAAUUAUUUAUUUAUUUUGUACAGAACUCCUAUUAUAUAGUAAAGUUGUAACAUUCGUUUUUGUACCAUGAUUCAUUAUAUGUGUGAGACUUGGUCCCAG
Molecule: long non-coding RNA, 2740 nt
Filed under: Zea mays
Lineage: Eukaryota; Viridiplantae; Streptophyta; Magnoliopsida; Poales; Poaceae
Description: long non-coding RNA (ZMAY_LNC003070)
Source: RNAcentral